Sinocyclocheilus grahami is the source of this 2012-nucleotide long non-coding RNA. Lineage: Eukaryota; Metazoa; Chordata; Actinopteri; Cypriniformes; Cyprinidae. The record is from Ensembl.
CGAUUACGCAAUGACGUGGUUUAAACUGGUUCACGUUCGAAAUGUGUUCAAAAGAAUCGAUUCGCAGGACGUCCUUCCCAAUGGUUUGACUAGUUUUACUACCACGCGGUGAGGAAAUCUACUCGUUACAGACGUUGAUUAGUGGAAGUGGAAACACUAAAGCAAAUAAAGGAGGAAGCGCUGCUAAAGUGGAGUGAGAAGGAGGAGCUGCAUACCAUCUUGACGUGCCAUAUACGGACUUUGCUCUCACUUCACCUGUUUUCAUUCACUCUUUCUGCAUCGCCAGAAUCAAGCACAAAUACAGGCUCCAACGCGAUACUGCUGCAGUAUGGAUAAUAUUCAGAAUGCUAAGAGUGAGACAGAGGAGGUGAAAGUUGCAAUGCUGGAAAAUGAAAAUAAAGCAGAACAACCCAAAGAUGUCAAUCAAAAACCUGAAAAGCCUCAGUGCACCAGGAAAAAAUGUAAGGAAUCUGCUGUGAACCAGAAGAUGGAGUACCUGCGGGCUAAUAAAGGACUCAUAGCCACUGUAUUGAUUUCAGCUGCUCUUAUAUUUGCUGUUGUGGUUGCCAUGCUUGCCACUACAGAUGGGCACAGUCACUCAGCGCACAACACAAAACACAGUGUGCACGUGCAUAAUGUCACAGAAAUGCCAUAGCAAUAGCUGCAGCAGACUAGAAGGAUAAAUCAGUUUGACCAGCACUGUUAUUUUCUUUAUUUAAAAAAAAGUCUUUUCAUUUUAGACAGUUUCUGAUAUUGAUUAUGUUUUAUGUUAUAAAGUGUCAUCUGAAUAUGACAUUUUCCAGCAUAAUUAAAGGUGUAGUUCUGCCAAAAAUGAAAAUUUGUAUUGUUUACUUACCCUCAUGUUGUUCCAAACCUGUAUUAUUUUUUUAUGUUAUAUGAUAAAUAUCUUUGUCCAUUCAGUGAAAGUCCAAUGGGGUCCAAAACAACAUUGGACCCUACUGACAAUUCUUCUUUUGUGAUCCACAGAACAAAGAAAGUCAGGUUUGGAAUGGCUUUGAGAGUGAGUCUGACAGAAUUUUCAUUUUUUAUGUGAACUUUCCCUUUAGGAAUGCAUGUUUAACUCAAUGUUACUGUACCAAUCUGCUGUUGUGUUCACUAAAGCUCAUUAGUUUCACUUUGUCAUAUAAACAUGACUUGGCAGGAAUGGCUAUCAAGAAAAACACAUUCCCCAUGAAAACUGUGCUGAUAGUUUGGUAUGUAAACACAAGGAGAUGUGAUUAAAAGCAAGGGCAUUUUCUGAGGUCAAGUGCACGAUAUCCUUUUUGUUCUACGAAGUGACAAAAGGAGCACAAAUGCCAUUUUUGUUUUUGCUGUGGUUAGUAGUCAUCUUAAACACAUGCUUUUUGUUUGAGGCUAAAGAUUUUAUAUAAAAAAGCACUUUCUUUUUCACAACCAGAUUUUGUAUGUUGGAAACAAGCCAGCUCAAGCUGUCAUUAUGUUUUGUUCAAAAAUUCUUUGUAAAUUCCUCAAAAAUAAAUGCAGAAAUCUAUUAUAAUCUGCUGUUAUCAUUGAAUCAGCUUUAGUGCUUCAUGUUUUCUUGAGGUUUUUUUUGAGUUGUCAAAUCAGUUCACAUUCAAACAGCUAAACAAAUUGAUGGUCAAAGGGAUUCAGGCAGCUGAGUCUAGUUGCUUCAUAAGACGCUUUCUUUACUUGAAUUGAAUCAAACUGAACUAUUGUCUUCUGUGGCGCUGCUCUACAGCUGAAUCACAUCUUUCAACAUCAGACUGAACUCAAUCAACAUUGAACUGGCUAAAGCUGAGUAAAAGAACUCCUUAUAGUUGAACUGUACUUGUUUCAAAAUUUGAUUUAAUUCACACUGUUACCACACUGAGCCAAGACUAAACUGACUUGAUAUGAACAAUGACACUGUUGUAUUUUUGAGCUGCUUUACUGCAGAAUGUCUCCAUAGUUGAGUUUCCAUAAUUGAUUCUGCUAUUUUUCCUGUUUAUCACUGUAAAGCUGCUUUGACACAAUAUGUACACAAAUAAAGG